This 451-nucleotide ribosomal RNA is filed under the name uncultured bacterium. RNAcentral describes it as "partial 16S ribosomal RNA". It matches the Rfam family "Bacterial small subunit ribosomal RNA", at positions 29 to 523 of the family's 1533-position model. The record is from RNAcentral.
AGCGAACGCUGGCGGCAGGCCUAACACAUGCAAGUCGAACGCCUGUAGCAAUACAGGAGUGGCAGACGGGUGAGUAACACGUGGGAACGUGCCCUUCGGUUCGGAAUAACUCAGGGAAACUUGGGCUAAUACCGGAUACGUCCGCGAGGAGAAAGAUUCAUCGCCGAAGGAUCGGCCCGCGUCCGAUUAGCUAGUUGGUGGGGUAAUGGCUCACCAAGGCGACGAUCGGUAGCUGGUCUGAGAGGAUGAUCAGCCACACUGGGACUGAGACACGGCCCAGACUCCUACGGGAGGCAGCAGUGGGGAAUAUUGGACAAUGGGCGCAGGCCUGAUCCAGCCAUGCCGCGUGGGUGAUGAAGGCCCUAGGGUUGUAAAGCCCUUUCGGCGGGGAAGAUAAUGACGGUACCCGCAGAAGAAGCCCCGGCUAACUUCGUGCCAGCCGCCGCGGUAA